RNAcentral lists this ribosomal RNA (497 nucleotides) under uncultured bacterium. RNAcentral describes it as "partial 16S ribosomal RNA". It matches the Rfam family "Bacterial small subunit ribosomal RNA", at positions 29 to 507 of the family's 1533-position model. The record is from RNAcentral.
ACGAACGCUGGCGGCGUGCCUAAUACAUGCAAGUCGAGCGGACGAAUCGAAAGCUUGCUUUUGAUUCGUUAGCGGCGGACGGGUGAGUAACACGUGGGCAACCUGCCCUGUAGACGGGGAUAACACCGAGAAAUCGGUGCUAAUACCGGAUAACACGAAAUGUCGCAUGACGUUUCGUUGAAAGACGACGCAAGCUGUCGCUACAGGAUGGGCCCGCGGCGCAUUAGCUAGUUGGUGAGGUAACGGCUCACCAAGGCGACGAUGCGUAGCCGACCUGAGAGGGUGAUCGGCCACACUGGGACUGAGACACGGCCCAGACUCCUACGGGAGGCAGCAGUAGGGAAUCUUCCGCAAUGGACGAAAGUCUGACGGAGCAACGCCGCGUGAGCGAAGAAGGCCUUCGGGUCGUAAAGCUCUGUUGUUAGGGAAGAACAAGUAACGCAGUAACUGGCGUUACCGUGACGGUACCUAACGAGAAAGCCACGGCUAACUACGUG